RNAcentral lists this long non-coding RNA (1090 nucleotides) under Linum usitatissimum (flax). RNAcentral's name for it is "long non-coding RNA (LUSI_LNC004266)". The record is from RNAcentral. Lineage: Eukaryota; Viridiplantae; Streptophyta; Magnoliopsida; Malpighiales; Linaceae.
GAUACUUAAAUAGAGGAAAUAUAGAAGAAGCCGGUCCCUCAUACUUGGGUCAUAAUUCAAGUCCUUUGAAUUACAUACGAUGUCAACUCGGAAGUUAUUAUCGGUUUUCUCAAGGAUUAUUUCUAGUGAGGGUGUCCUGCGUAUCCAACCGGGUUAGACAUUCCAUUAUGAAUUUAUUUUUAUUAAAGGCCAUAUGCAUGAUAGGGUAAAGUUCGUUUAAUGCUAAGAUUAUAUAUGCUUCUUUACCCUAUUUAUGAUUUAAUAUGGUACAUGUCCGGUUACUUUGCUGAUAUAACUGAGUUAAUAUAUGUGUUAAUCUAAGCAAUAUCUAUUACUGAUUAUUGAAUAAAUCUGGUAAUUGAUUGAUCACCUAGUUAGGGCCCGUAUGCUGGCGAUUGUGCUUAUUGCACUUCUGUUAUGCGGUGGGCCUUGGUAAGCGCCACAACUAACUAUUGCCGUGGUCUUUGAUAAGCGCCACACUAACUCUACGCGGCCCAUUUUAGUGCCACUAACUCUACAUGGGUCGUCAGCAAAUGUGAGCUGGGAUCCCAAAUAAAAUAUGGAUAUGAAUUAGAUUAUAGAUUUAGCCUUCUGUGUUAUAUGCCAGAUACUUUCUAUAUGAUUAUGUGUACCUUAGAGUGACGAGGAUAGAGAUCCUCACUCAGUGCUUAGCACUGACCCUUACUUUCCAUUUCAGAGUGACAGUAGGCUUUACUGGUUCACACACUGCAAAACUGCAAAAUGGUAUGAUCGAGCUUCGGGGUCGGUCAUCACGGUGACGACACCAGGUAGAUAUCGAAGAUUGUGUCUUGAUCCUCGUUUUGUGUUUAAAGCUCGUUUGAGAGUCUUACUCUCAUCAUGUGCAUAUGUUAUGAGUGAUUGUGUACUAGUAUAACGUGAGAUAUGAUUUUGUAAAAUAUAGUGGCAUUGAGGGCAAGUAUAUGGUUACUCCAAUCCGAGCCUGUGAAGCUCGAGGCUUCUACUUUAUAUGUAUAUGUGUCCCGCUGGACUUCUGGUAUAGUGUACUGUAUUGUGAAAAAUCAAUAAGUCAUAUAUGACAUUGUGAGCAGUUUCUGUGUUGACGGAUUAA